RNAcentral lists this unclassified non-coding RNA (337 nucleotides) under soil metagenome. RNAcentral's name for it is "partial contains 5.8S ribosomal RNA, internal transcribed spacer 2, and large subunit ribosomal RNA". The stretch from base 1 to 120 matches the Rfam family "5.8S ribosomal RNA", at positions 35 to 154 of the family's 154-position model. The record is from RNAcentral.
GAUGAAGAACGCAGCGAAAUGCGAUAAGUAGUGUGAAUUGCAGAAUUCAGUGAAUCAUCGAAUCUUUGAACGCACAUUGCGCCCCUUGGUAUUCCAUGGGGCAUGCCUGUUCGAGCGUCAUUUGUACCUUCAAGCUCUGCUUGGUGUUGGGUGUUUGUCUCGCCUCUGCGUGUAGACUCGCCUCAAAAUAAUUGGCAGCCGGCGUAUUGAUUUCGGAGCGCAGUACAUCUCGCGCUUUGCACUCAUAACGACGACGUCCAAAAGUACAUUUUUACACCCUUGACCUCGGAUCAGGUAGGGAUACCCGCUGAACUUAAGCAUAUCAAUAAGCGGAGGA